This 654-nucleotide ribosomal RNA is filed under the name uncultured bacterium. RNAcentral's name for it is "bacterial SSU rRNA". It matches the Rfam family "Bacterial small subunit ribosomal RNA", at positions 34 to 725 of the family's 1533-position model. The record is from RNAcentral.
CGCUGGCGGCGCGCUUACACAUGCAAGUCGCACGAGAAAGGGGCAACCUGAGUAAAGUGGCGUACGGGUGAGUAACACGUGGAUCAUCUACCUUUUAGUGGGGAAUAACCCUGGGAAACCGGGGCUAAUACCGCAUAAUCCUGUGAAGGGAAAGCAGCAAUGCGCUGAAAGAGGAGUCCGCGGCUGAUUAGCUAGUUGGUGAGGUAAUGGCUCACCAAGGCGAAGAUCGGUAGCCGGCCUGAGAGGGCACACGGCCACACUGGCACUGAAACACGGGCCAGACUCCUACGGGAGGCAGCAGUGGGGAAUCUUGCACAAUGGAGGAAACUCUGAUGCAGCGACGCCGCGUGAGCGAUGAAGCCCUUCGGGGUGUAAAGCUCUUUCGACGGGAACGAUAAUGACGGUACCCGAAGAAGAAGCUGCGGCUAACUACGUGCCAGCAGCCGCGGUAAUACGUAGGCAGCGAGCGUUGUUCGGAAUUACUGGGCGUAAAGAGUACGUAGGCGGUGCUCUAAGUCUGGUGUGAAAUCUCCCGGCUCAACUGGGAGGGUGCGCCGGAAACUGGAGUGCUCGAGUGCGGGAGAGGUAAGCGGAAUUCCUGGUGUAGCGGUGAAAUGCGUAAAUAUCAGGAGGAACACCUGUGGUGUAGACAGC